Molecule: unclassified non-coding RNA, 252 nt
Filed under: Asarum sieboldii
Lineage: Eukaryota; Viridiplantae; Streptophyta; Magnoliopsida; Piperales; Asaraceae
Description: partial ITS1
Source: RNAcentral
UUCGAAAGUCAAAAGACCCCCGACUUGGGUUCCAAAGGCAAACCUUAAGGCGGGGCAUCGACGCGUCCUUCUGUCAAUCGCGGCUAACAAUGAGCCAACAACCACCACUAGACGUAUCGCAGCCCGCCAAAGGUCCAAAUUUUAGGCAAACCGCGCAAUGAUUUGAACGGAUAGCCAAUAUCCGCGUCCUAUAUCCGAGACGGAUGUGGGAGCGACGCAUAGCAUGACGCCCAAGCAGGUGUGCCCUCAACC